This 500-nucleotide ribosomal RNA is filed under the name uncultured bacterium. RNAcentral's name for it is "bacterial SSU rRNA". It matches the Rfam family "Bacterial small subunit ribosomal RNA", at positions 28 to 517 of the family's 1533-position model. The record is from RNAcentral.
GAUGAACGCUAGCUACAGGCUUAACACAUGCAAGUCGAGGGGCAGCGGGAUUGAAGCUUGCUUCAAUUGCCGGCGACCGGCGCACGGGUGAGUAACGCGUAUCCAACCUUCCGUACACUCAGGGAUAGCCUUUCGAAAGAAAGAUUAAUACCUGAUGGUAUCUUAAGCACACAUGUAAUUAAGAUUAAAGAUUUAUCGGUGUACGAUGGGGAUGCGUUCCAUUAGGUAGUAGGCGGGGUAACGGCCCACCUAGCCAACGAUGGAUAGGGGUUCUGAGAGGAAGGUCCCCCACAUUGGAACUGAGACACGGUCCAAACCCCUACGGGAGGCAGCAGUGAGGAAUAUUGGUCAAUGGACGAGAGUCUGAACCAGCCAAGUAGCGUGAAGGAUGAAGGUCCUACGGAUUGUAAACUUCUUUUAUAAGGGAAUAAACCCUCCCACGUGUGGGAGCUUGUAUGUACCUUAUGAAUAAGCAUCGGCUAACUCCGUGCCAGCAGCCG